This 73-nucleotide transfer RNA is filed under the name Stegodyphus mimosarum. It matches the Rfam family "tRNA". Rfam says of the family: Transfer RNA (tRNA) molecules are approximately 80 nucleotides in length. Their secondary structure includes four short double-helical elements and three loops (D, anti-codon, and T loops). The record is from Rfam by way of RNAcentral. Lineage: Eukaryota; Metazoa; Arthropoda; Arachnida; Araneae; Eresidae.
GCCUUUGUGGUGUAAUGGUUAACACACUCGGCCUGUAUUCGAGAGUUCCGAAGUUCGAGUCCCGGUAACGGCA